GGCGAGCGGCGGACGGGUGAGUAAUGCCUAGGAAUCUGCCUGGUAGUGGGGGAUAACGCUCGGAAACGGACGCUAAUACCGCAUACGUCCUACGGGAGAAAGCAGGGGACCUUCGGGCCUUGCGCUAUCAGAUGAGCCUAGGUCGGAUUAGCUAGUUGGUGAGGUAAUGGCUCACCAAGGCGACGAUCCGUAACUGGUCUGAGAGGAUGAUCAGUCACACUGGAACUGAGACACGGUCCAGACUCCUACGGGAGGCAGCAGUGGGGAAUAUUGGACAAUGGGCGAAAGCCUGAUCCAGCCAUGCCGCGUGUGUGAAGAAGGUCUUCGGAUUGUAAAGCACUUUAAGUUGGGAGGAAGGGCAGUUACCUAAUACGUAAUUGUUUGA
Molecule: ribosomal RNA, 385 nt
Filed under: barley rhizosphere bacterium LJ70
Lineage: Bacteria
Description: bacterial SSU rRNA
Rfam family: Bacterial small subunit ribosomal RNA
Source: RNAcentral